GAUGAAGAACGUAGCGAAAUGCGAUAAGUAGUGUGAAUUGCAGAAUUCAGUGAAUCAUCGAAUCUUUGAACGCACAUUGCGCCCCAUGGUAUUCCGUGGGGCAUGCCUGUUCGAGCGUCAUUUACCCCCUCAAGCUCCGCUUGGUGUUGGGCGUCUGUCCCGCUUCGCGCGCGGACUCGCCCCAAAGGUAUUGGCAGCGGUCGUGCCAGCUUCUCGCGCAGCACAUUGCGCUUCUCGAGGCACCGGUGGGCCCGCGUCCAUCAAGCUCACCCCCCCAGUUCGACCUCGGAUCAGGUAGGGAUACCCGCUGAACUUAAGCAUAUCAAUAAGCGGAGGA
Molecule: unclassified non-coding RNA, 337 nt
Filed under: soil metagenome
Description: partial contains 5.8S ribosomal RNA, internal transcribed spacer 2, and large subunit ribosomal RNA
Rfam family: 5.8S ribosomal RNA (bases 1-120)
Source: RNAcentral